GAUGAACGCUGGCGGCGUGCCUAAUCCAUGCAAGUCGAGCGAACAGAUAAGGAGCUUGCUCCUUUGACGUUAGCGGCGGACGGGUGAGUAACACGUGGGUAACCUACCUAUAAGACUGGGAUAACUUCGGGAAACCGGAGCUAAUACCGGAUAACAUUUGUAACCGCAUGGUUCUAAAGUGAAAGAUGGUUUUGCUAUCACUUAUAGAUGGACCCGCGCCGUAUUAGCUAGUUGGUAAGGUAACGGCUUACCAAGGCAACGAUACGUAGCCGACCUGAGAGGGUGAUCGGCCACACUGGAACUGAGACACGGUCCAGACUCCUAAGGGAGGCAGCAGUAGGGAAUCUUCCGCAAUGGGCGAAAGCCUGACGGAGCAACGCCGCGUGAGUGAUGAAGGGUUUCGGCUCGUAAAACUCUGUUAUUAGGGAAGAACAAAAGUGGAAGUAACUGUGCACGUCUUGACGGUACCUAAUCAGAAAGCCACGGCUAACUACGUG
RNAcentral lists this ribosomal RNA (497 nucleotides) under uncultured bacterium. RNAcentral's name for it is "partial 16S ribosomal RNA". It matches the Rfam family "Bacterial small subunit ribosomal RNA", at positions 28 to 507 of the family's 1533-position model. The record is from RNAcentral.